RNAcentral lists this ribosomal RNA (429 nucleotides) under Pseudomonadota bacterium. Its description in RNAcentral is "Proteobacteria bacterium partial 16S ribosomal RNA". It matches the Rfam family "Bacterial small subunit ribosomal RNA", at positions 355 to 776 of the family's 1533-position model. Lineage: Bacteria; Pseudomonadati; Pseudomonadota. The record is from RNAcentral.
UGGGGAAUAUUGGACAAUGGGCGAAAGCCUGAUCCAGCCAUGCCGCGUGUGUGAAGAAGGUCUUCGGAUUGUAAAGCACUUUAAGUUGGGAGGAAGGGCAGUAAGCGAAUACCUUGCUGUUUUGACGUUACCGACAGAAUAAGCACCGGCUAACUCUGUGCCAGCAGCCGCGGUAAUACAGAGGGUGCAAGCGUUCAUCGGAAUUACUGGGCGUAAAGCGCGCGUAGGUGGUUCGUUAAGUUGAAUGUGAAAGCCCCGGGCUCAACCUGGGAACUGCAUCCAAAACUGGCGAGCUAGAGUAGGGCAGAGGGUGGUGGAAUUUCCUGUGUAGCGGUGAAAUGCGUAGAUAUAGGAAGGAACACCAGUGGCGAAGGCGACCACCUGGGCUCAUACUGACACUGAGGUGCGAAAGCGUGGGGAGCAAACAGG